Molecule: ribosomal RNA, 590 nt
Filed under: Carabus problematicus
Lineage: Eukaryota; Metazoa; Arthropoda; Insecta; Coleoptera; Carabidae
Description: LSU rRNA
Rfam family: Bacterial large subunit ribosomal RNA
Source: RNAcentral
UUUUAAAUGGCCGCAGUAUUUUGACUGUGCAAAGGUAGCAUAAUCAUUAGUUUUUUAAUUAAAAGCUUGUAUGAAAGGCUGGACGAGGUAAAAUCUGUCUCUAUUUAAAUUAUAGUAGAAUUUAACUUUUAAGUCAAAAGGCUUAAAUGUUAUUAAAAGACGAGAAGACCCUAUAGAUCUUUAUAGUUUAUUAAAUUAAAUUAAUUUAGAAAUGUUAAUGUUUUAUUUAAUUAAGUUAUUUUAUUGGGGUAAUAAAAAGAUUGAAUUAAUUCUUUUUUAUAAUAAACAUUAAUUUAUGAAUAUUAAUGAUCCAGUUUUACUGAUUAUAAGAUUAAGUUACCUUAGGGAUAACAGCGUAAUUUUUUUAGAGAGUUCAUAUCGAUAAAAAAGUUUGCGACCUCGAUGUUGGAUUAAAGAUUAUUUUAGGUGUAGAAGCUUAAUAAUUUUGGUCUGUUCGACCAUUAAAUCUUUACAUGAUCUGAGUUCAGACCGGCGUAAGCCAGGUCGGUUUCUAUCUUUAAUAAAACAAAAUAUUUUAGUACGAAAGGACCAAAUAUUUGAUAUAUUUAUAUUUAACUUAUUGAAUAUUA